UACAGAGGGGGCAAGCGUUGUUCGGAAUUACUGGGCGUAAAGGGCGCGUAGGCGGCCUGUUAAGUCGAACGUGAAAUCCCCGGGCUCAACCCGGGAACUGCGUCCGAUACUGGCAGGCUUGAAUCCGGGAGAGGGAUGCGGAAUUCCAGGUGUAGCGGUGAAAUGCGUAGAGAUCCGGAGGAACACCGAAGGCGAAGGCAGUGUCCUGGCGCGUAACUGACGCUGAGGUGCGAAAGCCAGGGGAGCGAACGGG
RNAcentral lists this ribosomal RNA (253 nucleotides) under uncultured bacterium. Its description in RNAcentral is "partial 16S ribosomal RNA". It matches the Rfam family "Bacterial small subunit ribosomal RNA", at positions 524 to 776 of the family's 1533-position model. The record is from RNAcentral.